CGAUUUCCGAAUGGGGAAACCCAGUGUGUUUCGACACACUAUCAUUAACUGAAUCCAUAGGUUAAUGAGGCGAACCGGGGGAACUGAAACAUCUAAGUACCCCGAGGAAAAGAAAUCAACCGAGAUUCCCCCAGUAGCGGCGAGCGAACGGGGAGCAGCCCAGAGCCUGAAUCAGUAUGUGUGUUAGUGGAAGCGUCUGGAAAGGCGCGCGAUACAGGGUGACAGCCCCGUACACAAAAAUGCACAUGCUGUGAGCUCGAUGAGUAGGGCGGGACACGUGGUAUCCUGUCUGAAUAUGGGGGGACCAUCCUCCAAGGCUAAAUACUCCUGACUGACCGAUAGUGAACCAGUACCGUGAGGGAAAGGCGAAAAGAACCCCGGCGAGGGGAGUGAAAAAGAACCUGAAACCGUGUACGUACAAGCAGUGGGAGCACGCUUAGGCGUGUGACUGCGUACCUUUUGUAUAAUGGGUCAGCGACUUAUAUUCUGUAGCAAGGUUAACCGAAUAGGGGAGCCGAAGGGAAACCGAGUCUUAACUGGGCGUUAAGUUGCAGGGUAUAGACCCGAAACCCGGUGAUCUAGCCAUGGGCAGGUUGAAGGUUGGGUAACACUAACUGGAGGACCGAACCGACUAAUGUUGAAAAAUUAGCGGAUGACUUGUGGCUGGGGGUGAAAGGCCAAUCAAACCGGGAGAUAGCUGGUUCUCCCCGAAAGCUAUUUAGGUAGCGCCUCGUGAAUUCAUCUCCGGGGGUAGAGCACUGUUUCGGCAAGGGGGUCAUCCCGACUUACCAACCCGAUGCAAACUGCGAAUACCGGAGAAUGUUAUCACGGGAGACACACGGCGGGUGCUAACGUCCGUCGUGAAGAGGGAAACAACCCAGACCGCCAGCUAAGGUCCCAAAGUCAUGGUUAAGUGGGAAACGAUGUGGGAAGGCCCAGACAGCCAGGAUGUUGGCUUAGAAGCAGCCAUCAUUUAAAGAAAGCGUAAUAGCUCACUGGUCGAGUCGGCCUGCGCGGAAGAUGUAACGGGGCUAAACCAUGCAC
RNAcentral lists this ribosomal RNA (1044 nucleotides) under Escherichia coli. RNAcentral's name for it is "partial 23S ribosomal RNA". It matches the Rfam family "Bacterial large subunit ribosomal RNA", at positions 108 to 1194 of the family's 2925-position model. Lineage: Bacteria; Pseudomonadati; Pseudomonadota; Gammaproteobacteria; Enterobacterales; Enterobacteriaceae. The record is from RNAcentral.